This 330-nucleotide ribosomal RNA is filed under the name uncultured eukaryote. Its description in RNAcentral is "partial 18S ribosomal RNA". It matches the Rfam family "Eukaryotic small subunit ribosomal RNA", at positions 1470 to 1796 of the family's 1831-position model. The record is from RNAcentral.
CCCUUAGAUGUUCUGGGCCGCACGCGCGCUGCACUGAUGCAUUCAACGAGUCUAAAACCUGGUCUGAUAGGGCUGGGUAAUCUUUUGAAAGUGCAUCGUGAUUGGGAUAGAUGAUUGCAAUUCUUCAUCUUCAACGAGGAAUGCCUAGUAAACGCAAGUCAUCAGCUUGCAUUGAUUACGUCCCUGCCCUUUGUACACACCGCCCGUCGCUCCUACCGAUUGAAUGAUCCGAUGAAUACCAUGGAUUGAGAGUACGAAUGGGUUCGCUCAUUUCUGCUGCUCGAGAAGUGGAGUAAAUCUUAUCAUUUAGAGGAAGGAGAAGUCGUAACA